AAAAACAUGUCUGUGUGUGUGAGUUAUAAAGUCUAGCCUGCCCACUGGUUAUUUAAAGGGCCGCGGUAAUUUGACCGUGCGAAGGUAGCAUAGUCAGUAGUCUUUUAAUUGAAGGCUUGAAUGAAAGGUUGGACGAAGGAUAGGCUGUCUCCUUUUUGCGGUUUGAACUUGACUUUUAAGUGAAAAGGCUUAAAUUGUUUAGUGGGACGAUAAGACCCUAUAAAAUUUUAUAUGGGUUCAAUUUAGUUUACUAUUUAAGUGAAAAGUAUUUUUGUUGGGCUUAUAUUCUGUUGGGGAGAUAUAGAUAUAAUAUGUAACUGUCUGUUUAAUUUAAUAGUUGUAGUUAGUGUUUGAUCCUUCUUUGUGGAUUAGAAGUAUAAGUUACUUUAGGGAUAACAGCGUAAUUUUCUUUGAGAGUUCUUAUCGAUAAGAGUAGUUGCGACCUCGAUGUUGAAUUAAAAUUUCAGUUAGGUGUAGGUGCUUAACUAGUGGGUCUGUUCGACCUUUAAAAUUUUACAUGAUUUGAGUUCAAACCGGUGUGAGCCA
This 546-nucleotide ribosomal RNA is filed under the name Arachnochium mirabile. RNAcentral describes it as "partial 16S ribosomal RNA". It matches the Rfam family "Bacterial large subunit ribosomal RNA", at positions 1809 to 2628 of the family's 2925-position model. Lineage: Eukaryota; Metazoa; Arthropoda; Malacostraca; Decapoda; Palaemonidae. The record is from RNAcentral.